This 77-nucleotide transfer RNA is filed under the name Vibrio phage RYC. Its description in RNAcentral is "tRNA-Pro". It matches the Rfam family "tRNA". Rfam says of the family: Transfer RNA (tRNA) molecules are approximately 80 nucleotides in length. Their secondary structure includes four short double-helical elements and three loops (D, anti-codon, and T loops). Lineage: Duplodnaviria; Heunggongvirae; Uroviricota; Caudoviricetes. The record is from RNAcentral.
CGGAACUUAGCUCAGCUUGGUAGAGCGCAUCGUUUGGGACGAUGGGGUCGAAGGUUCGAAUCCUUCAGUUCCGACCA